This 92-nucleotide transfer RNA is filed under the name Patescibacteria group bacterium. Its description in RNAcentral is "tRNA-Ser". It matches the Rfam family "tRNA". Rfam says of the family: Transfer RNA (tRNA) molecules are approximately 80 nucleotides in length. Their secondary structure includes four short double-helical elements and three loops (D, anti-codon, and T loops). Further hydrogen bonds mediate the characteristic L-shaped molecular structure. tRNAs have two regions of fundamental functional importance: the anti-codon, which is responsible for specific mRNA codon recognition, and the 3' end, to which the tRNAs corresponding amino acid is attached (by aminoacyl-tRNA synthetases). tRNAs cope with the degeneracy of the genetic code in two manners: having more than one tRNA (with a specific anti-codon) for a particular amino acid; and 'wobble' base-pairing, i.e. permitting non-standard base-pairing at the 3rd anti-codon position. The record is from RNAcentral.
GGAGAGGUCGCAUAGUGGCCUAGUGCGCUGGUUUGCUAAACCGGUAAGGGCUUUAAAACCCUUCGGGGGUUCGAAUCCCCCCCUCUCCGCCA